This 548-nucleotide ribosomal RNA is filed under the name uncultured Glomeromycotina. Its description in RNAcentral is "SSU rRNA". It matches the Rfam family "Eukaryotic small subunit ribosomal RNA", at positions 548 to 1098 of the family's 1831-position model. Lineage: Eukaryota; Fungi; Glomeromycota. The record is from RNAcentral.
UUGGAGGGCAAGUCUGGUGCCAGCAGCCGCGGUAAUUCCAGCUCCAAUAGCGUAUAUUAAAGUUGUUGCAGUUAAAAAGCUCGUAGUUGAAUUUCGGGAUCAAUUUAUUGGUCGUGCCAACGGUACGCACUGGUACAAUUGGUUUCUCCCUUCUGACGAAGCAUGAUGUCAUUAAUUUGAUGUCGUGGGGAAUCAGGACUGUUACUUUGAAAAAAUUAGAGUGUUUAAAGCAGGCUUUGGCUUGAAUACAUUAGCAUGGAAUAAUGAAAUAGGACGUUUGAUCUUAUUUCGUUGGUUUCUAAGAUCGACGUAAUGAUUAAUAGGGAUAGUUGGGGGCAUUAGUAUUCAAUUGUCAGAGGUGAAAUUCUUGGAUUUAUUGAAGACUAACUACUGCGAAAGCAUUUGCCAAGGAUGUUUUCAUUAAUCAAGAACGAAAGUUAGGGGAUCGAAGACGAUCAGAUACCGUCGUAGUCUUAACCAUAAACCAUGCCGACUAGGGAUCGGAUGAUGUUAAUUUUUCUUGACUCGUUCGGCGCCUUACGGGAAAC